CCCAUUUGUCCAGGGCAGGGAACAGGACAGGAGAGAGGAGGAAGCAAGAGGGUUAAGUCUGUCCAAGCCUUUCAGUGUGAUGAGACGAGGGUGGAGUGUCUGCCAAGAACAGGUCAGGUUCAAAACAGGAAACCCCAGGGUAGUGAUGGACACUUCUCUGUCGAUUUUACGUGGAUCUCUAGGGAAAGUGCUGGAACUGAUCUCAUUCAAUAUAUAUAUAUAGUUUUACAACUCAGAUUGAAGAGGAAGUGCACAAUGAGCUCUGCAGCUUUGCCAGCGAUGCUGAUCUCUUCCAGGUGCUGAAACGCUAAGAUGCAGUCUUGGUGGCUCACGCCUGUAACCCCAGCACACUGGGAGGCCAAGAAUUUCUUACCGAGACCUUUGAAAGUAUAUUUCAGACAUCAGGACACUUCAUUCACGUUGUGGUUACACUGUGUCCCAAUAAAAGAAACGUUGACGUCCUGGCCCCUGGUACCUUGAAUGUGACCUUAGUGGUAAAUAGGGUCUUUGCAGAGGUACUCAAAAUGAAGUCAUGCUGGAUUAGAGUGGGCCCUACAUCCAAUAACUGCCAUCCUUAUAAGGGAGAGAGAGAUUUGAAGACACGGAGAGACACACAGGGAAAAAGGCUACCUGACUGUGGAGACAGAGAUUGAAGUUUAUGUUGUCACCAACCAAGGAACGCCAAGGAUUGCCAGUAACUACCAGAGGCUGGAAGAGGCAAGGAAGACUCCUCCCUAGUCCUUCAGGCAGAGCAUGGCCCCACGAGCCCUUGAUUUUGGACUUGAAUUGUGACAGACCAAAUUUCUGUGUUGCAAACUAUCCUGCUUGUGGCAAUUUAUUACCGUAGCCCUAGGAAACUAAUACAACUCCUCAAUACAGGUGUUACCUAAAUGUGGGCAUUUAAUGGGACUCACGUAUUCUCCCCAUAACCAAUAUCAUUAGCACACCUAAGAAAAUUAACAAUAAUUUUAUGAUAUCCAAUCCAUACUCAAAUAUAUCCAAUUGUUCUCAAAAUAUCUUUUAUAGAUUUUUUUUUCCUUUUUUUUUGAUCCAGGAUCCAAUCAAAGUAUCUUACACGCAUUUGAU
Molecule: long non-coding RNA, 1086 nt
Filed under: Homo sapiens (human)
Lineage: Eukaryota; Metazoa; Chordata; Mammalia; Primates; Hominidae
Description: HSALNT0343750
Source: RNAcentral